UUUCUUUGCUGGCGACCGGCGCACGGGUGAGUAACACGUAUCCAACCUGCCCUUUACUCGGGGAUAGCCUUUCGAAAGAAAGAUUAAUACCCGAUAGCAUAAUGAUUCCGCAUGGUUUCAUUAUUAAAGGAUUCCGGUAAAGGAUGGGGAUGCGUUCCAUUAGGUUGUUAGUGAGGUAACGGCUCACCAAGCCUUCGAUGGAUAGGGGUUCUGAGAGGAAGGUCCCCCACAUUGGAACUGAGACACGGUCCAA
This 253-nucleotide ribosomal RNA is filed under the name uncultured bacterium. RNAcentral's name for it is "partial 16S ribosomal RNA". It matches the Rfam family "Bacterial small subunit ribosomal RNA", at positions 80 to 334 of the family's 1533-position model. The record is from RNAcentral.